Triticum aestivum (bread wheat) is the source of this 144-nucleotide non-coding RNA. The record is from Rfam. Lineage: Eukaryota; Viridiplantae; Streptophyta; Magnoliopsida; Poales; Poaceae.
UGUGUACUCCCUCCGUUACAAAAUACUUGACUUCCAUUUGUCCAAAAAUGGAUGUACCUAUAAUCCUAUAUACUAAAACAUGUCUAGAUACAUCUAUAUUUUGACAAAUAGAAGGCCUGUAUUGUGGAACGUAGGGAGUAGAAU